Long non-coding RNA from Numida meleagris (helmeted guineafowl), 1162 nucleotides. RefSeq lists it as uncharacterized. The record is from RefSeq and is a predicted model, not a curated record. NCBI's taxonomy places the organism in Eukaryota, Metazoa, Chordata, Aves, Galliformes, Numididae. The transcript is spliced from 3 exons.
GCUGAAGGUGAUGAAGCGGUGAUUCAAAUAUUCUGUUCUCACUGAUCAUAAUCAGGUUGUGAAAGGACUACUUUGGGCUCAGCCGAAUCACCGCGGAGGACGGGAGCACCGCGGGAAACACGCACCGCUCCCUCCAGAGCCGGGGAUAAUAGCAGGGCGUGCCGGAGUAAGGUUCGACACCGAACAUCAGCAACGGGAACGACGGCGGGCACUGGGCUGCCUCCCAGUGAGCCCGGAGCGUAACAGCAGGCAGGCAGCGCCUCCUGGCUGAGGUGCGCAAAGAAUCUGCGAAGCGCAGACGAACAGUUCCUGAGCAUCUCCCUGAGGAGAUCCGAUGGGACUUCAGGUUGCGGAAACGUGCCCAGCUCAGUUACGCAUCCCUAACAGCCACUCGACAACCCAGGAAAUCAGCCACCAAAAAAGAACAACAGACUGCAUUAUAUCAGCAAUAUUGAGUGGAGUCUGGACACACAGAUACACAUUCUUUGCAACAGAAAAAGGAAUUUUAACUGUUCUCCAGUUAUUGUGGAAACAAGGCCUGAGUGUAUGACAGCAGACUUUUUGUUCCCAUGUCUGUGAGAAGUAAGCCCUUGGAAGACAUAACCACACUCAGAAUCAUACAAACAAACUGAGACUUUUCUGAAAAGCUGAUUUUUCAAACUCUGGUGAAAGAAGAGAUUAAAAUGCUUAACUUUUAAAAUGAAUGAGCCAAGGACUGUGCACUUGUGCCAGAAAGAUAUUUUCUUUGUUUUCAGCUGACAAUGAUAGCACAGUGCCACUCUAUCCAUGACAACCACUACCUGCCUUUUUAAUUGGAAAGGAAGGUUUAGAUUUCCUCAGGAGAUUAUUCUGGCCUGUUCCUCAGUAUAUAUAAAACAAAAUUAUUAACCUUUGGAUUUCAGAAACGUGAAGCAAUUUUCUCUGCAAUCACAGAAGUAAUACAGCUUUUCUUGUUUGAGUUAGUGAAAGUUUAACGCGCUUUUAAGAAGUAUGAUACAACUUGGAAAGACUGGUUCAUUUAUCAGAGGAAUCUUGGAGGCAGGCCUAUCUAUCAAAUUCCAGCUAGUCAUUUGUGUCUGUGUCCAUGAGCAUGGAAAGUAUGUGUAUCCUAAUAGAAUUUUGUCCAGCUCUGGUAUUAAAAAUCAAUAAACACGUACACGUA